AUCAGUGGCGAACGGGUGAGUAACACGUGAGUAACCUGCCCUUGACUCUGGGAUAACUGCUAGAAAUGGUAGCUAAUACCGGAUACGACCCUCGGCCGCAUGGUCAGGGGGUGGAAAGAAUUUUGGUCAAGGAUGGACUCGCGGCCUAUCAGGUAGUUGGUGAGGUAAUGGCUCACCAAGCCUACGACGGGUAGCCGGCCUGAGAGGGUGACCGGCCACACUGGGACUGAGACACGGCCCAGACUCCUACGGGAGGCAGCAGUGGGGAAUAUUGCACAAUGGGCGAAAGCCUGAUGCAGCAACGCCGCGUGAGGGACGACGGCCUUCGGGUUGUAAACCUCUUUUAGUAGGGAAGAAGCGAAAGUGACGGUACCUGCAGAAAAAGCACCGGCUAACUACGUGCCAGCAGCCGCGGUAAUACGUAGGGUGCAAGCGUUGUCCGGAAUUAUUGGGCGUAAAGAGCUCGUAGGCGG
Molecule: ribosomal RNA, 473 nt
Filed under: uncultured Microbacteriaceae bacterium
Lineage: Bacteria; Bacillati; Actinomycetota; Actinomycetes; Micrococcales; Microbacteriaceae
Description: bacterial SSU rRNA
Rfam family: Bacterial small subunit ribosomal RNA
Source: RNAcentral